UUUACUUUGAAAAAAUUGGAGUGCUCAAAUCAGGCCCACUGCCUGAACAGAUGUGCAUGGAAUAAUGGAAAAGGAACUUCGGUUCUAUUUUGUUGGUUUUCGGAACAUGAAGUAAUGAUUAAGAGGGACAGACGGGGGCAUUCGUAUUGCGGUGGGAGAGGUGAAAUUCUUGGAUCAUCGCAAGACGCCCUACAGCGAAAGCAUUUGCCAAGAAUGUUUCCAUUAAUCAAGAACGAAAGUCAGAGGUUCGAAGACGAUCAGAUACCGUCCUAGUUCUGACCAUAAACGAUGCCAACUGGCAAUCCGUUGCGAUUGCAAGUUCGAUCCAACGGGCAGCCUCCGGGAAACCAAAGUCUUUGGGUUCCGGGGGAAGUAUGGUUGCAAAGCUGAAACUUAAAGGAAUUGACGGAAAGGCACCACAAGGAGUGGAGCCUGCGCUUAAUUUGACUCAACACGGGAAAACUCUACCCGGCCCGGACACUGUGAGGAUUGACAGAUUGAAAGCUCUUUCUUGAUUCGGUGGGUGGUGGUGCAUGGCCGUUCUUAGUUGGUGGAGCGAUUUGUCUGGUUAAUUCCGAUAACGAACGAGACUCUAGCCUACUAAAUAGUACACUCAUCCAUUUGUGUGAGUGCCGACUUCUUAGGGGGACAAGUGGCAUUCAAGCCAUACGAAAUUGAGCAAUAACAGGUCUGUGAUGCCCUUAGAUGUCCGGGGCCGCACGCGCGCUACACUGAAUAGCGUAACGAGUUAUUCUCCUGAUCCGAAAGGGUCGGGCAACCUGUUGAAACCUAUUCGUGACAGGGAUCGGGGCUUGUAAUUAUUCCCCGUGAACGAGGAAUUCCUAGUAAGGCA
RNAcentral lists this ribosomal RNA (853 nucleotides) under Stylochus orientalis. RNAcentral's name for it is "SSU rRNA". It matches the Rfam family "Eukaryotic small subunit ribosomal RNA", at positions 751 to 1624 of the family's 1831-position model. The record is from RNAcentral. Lineage: Eukaryota; Metazoa; Platyhelminthes; Polycladida; Stylochidae.